RNAcentral lists this ribosomal RNA (253 nucleotides) under uncultured bacterium. RNAcentral's name for it is "partial 16S ribosomal RNA". It matches the Rfam family "Bacterial small subunit ribosomal RNA", at positions 524 to 776 of the family's 1533-position model. The record is from RNAcentral.
UACGUAGGGGGCAAGCGUUGUCCGGAAUCAUUGGGCGUAAAGCGCGCGUAGGCGGUCCGAUAAGUCCGCUGUGAAAGUCCGGGGCUCAACCCUGGAAAGCCGGUGGAUACUGUCGGGCUAGAGUCCGGAAGAGGCGAGUGGAAUUCCUGGUGUAGCGGUGGAAUGCGCAGAUAUCAGGAGGAACACCAAAGGCGAAGGCAGCUCGCUGGGACGGUACUGACGCUGAGGUGCGAAAGCGUGGGGAGCGAACAGG